RNAcentral lists this long non-coding RNA (21907 nucleotides) under Sorghum bicolor (sorghum). RNAcentral's name for it is "long non-coding RNA (SBIC_LNC000404)". Lineage: Eukaryota; Viridiplantae; Streptophyta; Magnoliopsida; Poales; Poaceae. The record is from RNAcentral.
UGAUAUCUGUAUAGUUUUAGUCAUUAUUACAGAAGUCUGCCAGCAUGACAAAGAUGUUAUUCCAACAGCACCUACAGUUGUGUUGCAAGGUAACCCAGACGAUGUGAAAUGGGGUACAUCCAUAAUGCGGCAAAUCUCCUUAAACUGAUAUCUGUAUAGUUUGUCAUUAUUACAGAAGUCUGCCAGCAUGACAAAGAUGUUAUUCCAACAGCACCUACAGUUGGGUUGCAAGGUAACCCAGACGAUGUGAAAUGGGGUACAUCCAUAAUGCGGCAAAUCUCCUUAAACUGAUAUCUGUAUAGUUUUAGUCAUUAUUACAGAAGUCUGCCAGCAUGACAAAGAUGUUAUUCCAACAGCACCUACAGUUGGGUUGCAAGGUAACCCAGACGAUGUGAAAUGGGAAAUGUACAUCCAUAAUGGGGCAAAUCUCCUUAAACUGAUAUUUGUAUAGUUUUAGUCAUUAUUACAGAAGUCUGCCAGCAUGACAAAGAUGUUAUUCCAACAGCACCUACAGUUGUGUUGCAAGGUAACCCAGACGAUGUGAAAUGGGAAAUGCUGUUUCUCAUAAGAUGCAGCAAAAUCACUCUCAAACACCAAACAUCAGGCUGAACUUGGUGGCGAGGGGGACGGAUAUGAUGGCAACUCCCAACGCGACUCCGAAGAUACGGUGCGAGAUAGAGAAAGUAGCGCUGAACUGUGGCUUCUUCAGAGGAAGAUGAGGCGACAGUGGGCGGUUUGCUACAGGAGAUGAUAGGGGGCGGCUCGUGUGCAGGAGCCGAUUUCCAGGAGUAGACAUCUUUGGUGGCAGAGCAGCUAGAGGAGAAGAUGUGUAGCCCCUGGCUUGCUCAGGAUAUGAGCUUGAACUACCAAGAACACCUGAAAGAUGAAUGUGACAAGUUUAUAAGGGCCCCAAAUUUAUAAUAGGUAAGUAUAUGCAAUGAACUGCAAACAUUGGCUGUGUUCAGCCUGCAGCUGCAGAGCAGCACCAACAAAAAGAGAAACAGCAGCAGCCAUCGGAAGUAGCACUUCCUAACACAUCCAUUAUAUUCAAAAAGUACCUAAAAAACAACUCCCUAAAUCGAUUCCCUUUUUUUGGCAAAAUGGGCCCUCAAAACACUAUUGUAAAACAACUCCCUGUAAGCACUUGGUAAAUCUCCCUCCAACUCACAAAUAUAUGUCUCCAUCCUGCGCUGCACAUCCACCCAGGCAGCCCCCACCCCCACCCCUGUUUUCGAGCUUUAGGAAGCUAACUAUUAAAGGAAGAUAAAAAAAAGAGCUCCCUAUUCAUUUUGUUCAUUUGGCAUACUUCAUCGUUUACUAAGUGACUUUUAAGGAGCUCUUGGAGAUGCUCUAACCAGGAAAAAAAAGAAUACUCAGUAAUAAUAAUAUGGUGGACAUCUAAGUGCAUUUCAUCAAAGCGUAUAUAAAGAAACGUGACUGUAGUCUAUUAAGGUAUGUAUAUCAAACUAUGCAUCUAAAAUCAAAAUGAAAAUAACAUAUAUAGCUGAAUUCAUUAAUGCUACGAGGCAUGCUCAAAGUUUUGCCUCCAGGUAAGGAAGAGCAACUUCUGACUACAUAUUGUAAAAUGAUCGGAGAGAUAUGGCCACUAUUGGCAUCCAUUCGUGCUAAUGAUAUGACGGACCAGACCACAAAAUAGUGAUAUACUGCUACCUGUCUCAACAUAAGCCUCUAAGCUUCGAGAAUGAAAUGUUAUAGUGUCAUUUCCAGCCUCACACUACAGUAAUACAGCAUAUCCUGAACAACAUAAUGUAGUUGGAUUGAUUAUAGUGUGCUACAACUAUCUCCUAAUGGGUUUCAGUGUAACAUUGAUUAUUGUCUUGAAACUACAUGAGAGAAAACAUAUAACAAACCAGAGCAGUAGUUCUUACCACGGAGGGCAAAUGGAGUCUCUCUCAGGGGUGCAAACUGAGUGUUGCUGUUAUACUUCUCCAUUCCUGCACAGCCUGCACAAUAACCAAUAAUCAUGGAUUAGCAUCAGCACAGAAUCAUGGUUUUGGUAAAAGAAAAUUUGAAUACAAAUUUUUACCAAGCACAACAUAGAAAGAUUAAAUGAUAUCAACUAAAUUGGAGAAUACCAAAAUCAAUUGUUCCUAAUGAAGUUGGUGGUUUAGAAGAUCCAAGUAAAGUAUUUCAGCAAUUUCUAGAGUCUAGACCCUAGUCAAUCUCAAUGCUAACCAUUGUGACUAUGUACACAGAGCUAAAAAGGAUACAUAUGAUAGAAUAGAGAACAUAAAUUUGAGCAUCGUAGCAUACUGAAAUUUCUAGCCACUUUACUUAUGUUUAGAGAGCCUGACCGAAAAUCCAUAUAGACAUGCAUUCUGUGUAAGCAUGAGCAUGAGUUGUCAAAGUCACACUAUUGUAGCUAACUUACAUUUUCGAGCAAUCAUCAACAUCACUAAUGAAGCAAACUACACAGGUCUAUCCUACUAUGUCCUGUGGACUUAACUGCAUGAAGAGGAGAAACAUGCAAAACUUGAGUUGUGGACUAAUCAUCAACAUUCCUGUGGGGUGUUUUUAGUAUUUAACUCUUUCGUUCCAAGCAAAAGAGUAUUAUUUGCGAAUCAUUCAGUGCCAGAGCAUUGCUAUACAAAACUUUCAUAAUUAACUUGCAUGCUUGCCAAAGCGAUGUAAUGUUCCUUCUAUUGUCAGUAAGGUAGCACUACCUUGCUUCACUGGAUAGCUCAGUUUGUUCGGCAGAAGCUCUUUGUUGUUGUGAGACCUCUAGUGCCAGGUCCUAAUGUUCCUUCCUGGGAUCAAAGUGGAUGAAAACUCUGAUCCACCUAGUGUUGCUCUGGACCUUGCUGUGUUUUUUUUCUAUUGAUAUUUUGUUCAGUUCAAGUGAAUCCCCCCCACCCCCCAUAGUAAGGGCCCGUUUGGCAGAGCUCCCAGAGCUGAUUCUUUGUUGAAUCCAGCAGGAGCUCUGCCAAACAAUUUUUUAGAGAGAAGUGAUUCUUUGAUGAUUCCGUGAAAUGUUUCUCUAAAAUGAACUAGGCGGCUGUCAUGAUUUCAAGAGUUUAUGCUAAAGAAUCAAAGAGAAUCACUUUUCUCAGAGAAUCAGCUUCCAUAGAGAAUCAAAAUCAGAUGGAGCUCUACCAAACAGGCCCUUAUAAUCUGAAACUACUUAUAUGAAGAGUUGAUUACUUGAUUUUGUGUAAACAACUAAUGAUACUGUGGUUUAUCAGUGUUUCAAUCAUUAUCCAAAAGUUCACUGCUAUAAAUGUAGUUAUAAGUCACAUCAUUCAAUUUUAUUUGUAGUAAGAAAAUCACAGGUAACUCUAACGUUGUAUGUUUAUCCUCUUCACGCAUGUGAGUUAACAGGACUUAGUAGGAUAGAUAGGAUAGACAAUUAUAGUUUGUUCCAUUAGUGGUGUUGAUGAUUAGUGGAAAAUGUAAGCUAGCAACAAUAGUUUGACUGUAUGACACCUCAUGCCUAAGGUUUGCCAUCCUAAUUUUGUUUCUUUUAGCUAAGGGACCAUGGGUGCCAGGUGGUGUUCAACAUGCACGCCUAUACACAAACAAUGUGUAUGCAUACAUUGUGGUUGUGGUAACAACUUCAGCAACCUCAGCAAUAACUUUAAGCUGCUUGAUAGCCAAACCAUCCAUCUAACCAAUGAUAAAUUGCAAUUAGAAUUGGACAUAUACUUAUCAAAUUCACGUAUGAAAUGAAAAACAGCUUCAAAACUCAUCUGUGUUCUGUAUAGCAGCAUAGGUUCAGUUAACGUUGGAAAAAAAAAAUCAGAGCAGCUCAAAGUUAGAGCAGGACUUGAGAUUCCCCAUAUUGAAAAGGCAUCAAGACAAUAUACCUUGCACUUAAUUUGCGAUCCAUGCAACUAAGUGCUACUGAAUUAAGAGAGAACCAACCUAAUAAUAAUGGUAUAGAAAACUAACUUAAACGAAUGGUCUGUUCCAAUGCUAAAAAGCAGAACCUAUGCAGCGAGCGCCUGGUAUGUGAGAGGAAUCGAGCAGGGUUUACCUUGCUGCUCCGGAGGAGAUGGAGAGGCCUCCUUGCUGGCUACACAGAAGAUCUGCAGGAAGGAAGAGGCAGAAGAGGUCAGGAUGGAGAGGAUCUGGGCAGCCGGCGGAGGGCCAACCCUAGUCUCCAUGCGCAGAAAAAAAAACAAUGGAGGAUUAUGUGCCGCGCCCAGUCGUGACUCGUGAGGGCAAGCCGGCGGUGAUCCGGCCGCCCGAUCCGCGAACAUAUCCGUGCCCGUGUCCCAUGAUCCGGGACGCGUGCCCAAAAUCCAUCGGAAUCCCGGUCGGGAGAGGAGGCGCUGCGCGUUACUCACCCGAACGAAGCGAGCUCGGGACCGAUUCUCCGCCGGAGGGACGCGUCUGGAGGCGGGGGGCGGCGGUGCGGUGAGAGACCAGAGAUGGAACGAGGAAAAGCUUGCUCGUGCCUCCGCUGGCACUACGCCCUUUGUUCUGGGAGGAACAGCCCGGCACGGCCUGGUUGGCAUCGUGCGUGGACUGACACGGCCUGGCCCGGCCGGCAUCAUGCCCAGGGCCUUGUUUAGGCCUUCCCCACCCAAAAACUUUUCAUCCAUCCUAUCGAAUUUUUAGACACAUGCAUAGAACAUUAAAUAUAGAUAAAAAAUAAACUAAUUACACAGUUUAGUUGAGAAAUAGCGAGACGAAUCUUUUAAGUCUAGUUACUCCAUGAUUAGCCUUAAGUGCUACAGUAACCCCAUAUAUGUUAAUGACAGAUUAAUUAUGCUUAAUAAAUUUAUCUUGUAGUUUCCUGACGAGCUAUGUAAUUUGUUUUUUUAUUAGUUUCUAAAAACCCCUCCCGACAUCCUUCCGACACAUCCGAUGUGGCACCCAAAAAAUUUUCAUCCCCAAUCUAAACAGGCCCUUAGUUUCUUGCCGAAAUUUUUCGCAACAUUGUAGUAUUUUCGUUUGUAUUUUGUGAUAAUUAUUGUCUAAAUCAUGGACUAACUAGACUCAAAAAAUUCGUUUUGUAAAUUUCGACCAAACUGUACAAUUAGUUUUUAUUUUUGUUUAUAUUUAAUACGUCAUACAUGUGCUUAAAGAUUUGAUGUGACAGUGAAUCUUGAAAGUUUUUGGAUUUUGGGUGGAAGUAAACAAGACCCAGGUUGACAUGGGCCAUUAAACCAUGCCGUGUUUAGCCGAAAGCUGGCACCAAUUAGCCCGUUUAUUUGGUUUGAGCAACAUUAUUGAAACUUUUAUCUAUAAUUUUUUUUAGUAAAAUAAAAAAAAACAUCUUCAACAGUUUAUAGCAUCUUAAUUCCUCAUCUUUUUUAUGUUCGCAUAUCUCCCUAUCUAGCACGUAAAUAUGCGCGAGGGCUCCAUGUUUAACAUCGAUUUUUUUUCUCAUACUUAGCGGGGCUUUUCGUUUUUUUAGUGGGGCUCUUUGUUUCUUUAGCGGGGUUUUGUUUUUUUAGAAAACGAAAUUUGCUAAACUGUUGAAGAUAUUGGUUUUUCUCCCUAUAUUAUUUUGGGAGUUGAUAAAUAAUAAGAUUUGAGAAACGAAUUUUACCAGAUAAUUAGAGAUACUCUGUUUGUUGGGUAUUUAUCACCUAUCUAGGCUCCCCGAAGCCACCAUGACGAUGUUUGGUGGCCUAUUUACGGAGGAUGACCCAACUAUCAUAGGGGCUAAUAAAGGUAAAUCACGACAUGUUAAUUUAUGGAGCAUAAAGAGUGACUAGAAAGUGAGUAUCUCCAAUAAUUUGUCAAAUAACUUUCUAUAUAUAAAUCUUUUAGCAAAGUGAGAAAAAACUCUCUCCAUCAGUUUGAUAUAUCAAUUUCUCAUCUUAUCUAACUUCUCCUAGUCUAGCGCGCAAAUAUGCGUGUGGGCUCCGUGCUUGACAUCGGUCUUCCUCCUUAUGCUUAGUGGGGCUCUUCGUUUCGUUAGCGGGUUUUUGAUUUUUGGAAACGAAUUUUGCUAAAUUAUUAGAGCUAAAACCUUUUUUCCUCCAUAUAUUAUUUUAGGAGUUGGCAUACAACAAGAUUUGAGAAAUGAAUUUUGCGAAACGGUUGGACACGUUAUGCGCUAAAAACAGUAUAGGUGGGUAUCGUAAGCUCGUGUCUCGUGGCAAUAAGCCAAUAAUUGAGAUGACAUGACUGUCGCACUUGAAAACAAAAAUACAUCCAGAUGUGUUCGCCUACGUCUAGCUCUUUGCAGAUUUACGGUUCACAGGCAUACUAUCGCCCUUCAUUGUUUGUUGCAAAGCAUGGCGUGGUGCUGCAGCCUGCAGGGGCAAUUCCACCUCCAUCCAUGGCCAGAUUUGCCAACCGCUCCAUUACCAUGCAUCAUGGGUGUUUACUCCAGUUACCAUUCGUCAUGCGAGAUGGCGGGGGAUCAUCAGGGCUGAAUCCCUGUCUUGGUGUAGCUUCGAUCCCCAUAUGCUACUAUUCAUUCAUAUAUCCUAGAAAGCAUCUUACUCUCUACGUCUCGAAAUAAAGUGCGUUCUAGCAUUCACAACAAAAAAAAAUAUUUACUUAAAUAAAAAUAUAUGAUCCGCUGCUUUCUUUUUUUAUUUAUUCUCUCUUCUACUUAAAUAAUGAAAGUAAUUCCGUGCUUACCAUAUUUUCGAUAAGAAAACAUAGAUUCCACUCUUUAUAAUCGUGUAAAAUAUGAUUGAAAAAAAUUAAAUGAGGGGUACAUGUAUCCAUUACUCUCUCUUGUUUUGUCUGAGAAUAGCUACAAUACACUAUAUUUCACGACAGAGAGAGUAUCAAGUUUGGUAAUUGGUAACGCUAUAAGCAAAGGGUUCUAUACCUAUUUUUGGUCUUCUCCAACGAUAAAAGCAAGCGAAUCCUUCUUGUAAAUGGGUCUCAAGGAGAGAAAUAUUUGGGUUAUACAUCUACUGAUAUCUAAAAUGUGAGUUUUCUAUAUAGGUGUAUUGUUAGAGACUAUAGAUAUUACGUUGAAUACCCAUUUUAGAUGUAGACAUAUCUUAAUGAAAAGAAUUCAGCUUGGUUAAAUAUAGAGCGUACAACAAACAUAAUAUUCUCUAAUUUCUUAGUUUGUGUUUUUGUUUCAUGACGAUUUGUGUAUGUAGUAACUUAUUAUUUCUCUAUAUAUCUAUAUCUAUAUCUAUAUCUAUAUCUAUAUCUAUAUCUAUAUCUAUAUCUAUAUCUAUAUCUAUAUCUAUAUCUAUAUCUAUAUCUAUAUCUAUAUCUAUAUCUAUAUCUAUAGACAUAUUUUUGUCUGGCCUCUUCCCUAAACCAGCUUCGACUCGGUCACGCCUAAUUCCAAAUCCAAGCCGGACAGGAGGAGGCAGACGCCGUGCAAUCCGCCAGAGCUCCUUCGCAGCGUCGCGCAGAGUAGGAGCCCGCGUUCCCAGCUCCCGUGGCCUGGCGCCUGGCCGGAGGAGCUGGCACACUCCUUGGCUGCGUCGCGCGGAGUACAAGCCCGCGCUCCUGGCUCCCGUGACCUGGCAGACGGAGAUCUCGGCACAUGGGACUCGACGUAGGGUGGCACGAGAAGAUCUCGACGGAGGGGACUGGAUGGAGGGCGGGCGCGAUGACGACUUUGGGGAUCUCGGCGUAGGGAACCAGAUGAAGAGAACGAGAGAAGGGGAUGGUGUACCAGCAACAACGUUGGACAACAAUGGCGGCGGCGUGGCCUCCCGACGUCGGACGGCGGCGAGGACGCUGGGUCGAGCGGCGUGGCCUCCUCACGUCAACCGGUGACAGUGAAUCCUCUCUGCGUCGGCUGGCAGUGGCGGCGCUGAGGUGGAACGGCAUAGCGUCUCAGGAUAGCAUCGAUUCAGGCGCGCGGCGGGGCUGGGACCUGGGAGACCUGGGAGCGUCUUCAUCUAAUGAAAUGCCUUCACUGUCUUCACUCACCCCUAACGCAAAUGGGCCUCCAGCCCAGAAGUGAAAUAAUGGUAGCAAAAAAGUUCUAAAAAACAAAGAAAAAUGGCAAAAAAAAGUUAAAAAUAAUAAAAACUAAGAUUCAAUUUGUGGACCUGAGAAGUAGAAUAUCAUUACGUUAAGGAAUCGUACAAGUUAAGUUCAACAGGGAAAUAUAUAUACCUAAUAAUAAAUUGUAAAAAUUUUAGUUCACCACGAAAUUCUGUUCACCAGUCCAUCCGUACAGGACUAUGAUUCUUUACCUAAUAUUUAAUCAUAAAAAUUUCGGUCUGCCUACUUUUUUUGUACGCCCAUAAUAUAUGACCACAGCCCGGCCAGAUCAGUUGAGUUCAAGUAGGAUACAGAGUCUGAUCCGUUCCCAAAUUUCAACGAUGCAAUAAAUUAAUUACGGUAGCGACAGAGACCCAACUAAUAAAAAAAUCUAUUGUAAUAGCGAACGUGUAAAUUUUUACUUAAUAUUUAAUCAUGUAAAUUUCAGUCUGUCCACUUUUUCAAUUUGCAUAGGGCUAGCGACGGGGACGUUAUGUUGGAGUGGUAGACAAAAACCCUAUGGUCAAGGUAGGACGUCAUGGGAGGUUGGUGAGGCGGUGAUACUAUGUGAGGUGCCCACUGUCGAGAGCAAAAUUGGAGGCAGUGCCGGUAAAUAGGAAGAAGGAUCAUACAGUUCCCAACAAUACGAUCCUUCUUUCGUAGCAAUGCACGGACAUAUUUCCUAGUACUAUAAAAGUAGUAUAAAAGUAGGGGUAAUUCCUCUUGUUUCCCUUCGAAAAUAAAAGUGAGGUUUACCCGUAGACGAGUAUGGGCCUAUGGGGUGGUAGAGGUCAAAACUGACGACCCCGUUCCGUUCCGACUUCGACCCACGGCCCCACCAAGUCAGUCAGCCAGCCCGCGCCCACACGGAUCUCAAGGCACCUAGCGUCCUCGACGCGGCGAAGCAUCCUCUUCCACAGUUUCCUUCCUCUAGUUGCCUUUCCAGAGCGACAACUCCCAACUCCCCAAAUUUCCUUCACCCGAAAGCCCCCAACCCCACCCCAUCCUCCGAUCCCCUCCCCUUCCGCCUCGCCUCCGGCCACCGCGUCCGCCCCCCGACCCUGAUGGCGUCGGCGGCGUGGUCCUCUAAUGUGAUGCUCGCGAUCCACGAGAAGAAAACGACUGCCACUGAUCUCUACCGCCCGCUGCGCCUCUACAUCGCCUCCGUCUACUCGGAGCGCGAGGCCGCCGCGGCCGACGACGACCUUACCGUGGUGCGAGACCUCCGCGCCGCUGUCGAGCAGCCCUCCCUCCCGGACCCGUCCUCCCUCGAGCAGCGCCGCGACGCGCUGCUCGCCUACGCGCGGGCUCUGGCGCUCGUGGAGCCCCGGUUCCCCAUCUCCCCCGACCGCGCCCACGUCCACUCCCUCACCUUCACCUGGCACGACGCCUUCAAGGGGAACAAGAAGUGCGCCCUCGCCUCCAUCCACCUCGAGAAGGCCUCCGUGCUCUUCAACAUCGGCGCCGUCUACUCCCAGAUCGCGCUCGCCGCGGACCGCUCCACCGACGUCGGGAUCAAGACCGCGUGCGGCGCCUUCCAGAGUGCGGCGGGGGCGUUCGCGUGGCUCAGGGAGAGCGGGGUCGCGGCCAAGGCUGUCGCUGCGGGGGCCACCACUGUGGACAUCACGCCCGAGUGCGCCGGCAUGCUGGAGAAACUCAUGCUCGCGCAGGCGCAGGAGUGCUUCUUCGAGAAGGUCAUAGGUGGAGGGAAGCCACCCGCGCUGUGCUCCAAGGUGGCGCGGCAGGUGCGUGGUUACUUCCUGUUGUUCAGGUUUUGCGGUAUGGGAGCUUAAUUUAGAUUGAUGUGGAAUGAAUGAAAGCUCUGAAUGUUUCUUAAGUUGUUUAAGCAUUUACAAUAUGUUUACCAGCCAUAAGUGAAUUCAUGAUGUUGUAGUGUUGAGGACUUAUAACUAAGAGAAUUAUAGGAUGCUGAACCCUACUAGGGAAGUCCAUUUAUCUAACAUCAAGGUAAACCUAAUUCUAGAAAAAUUCUGUAGGCCUAUGCGGUGGUUAACUUGUUUGAUUGAAUCAUAUUUAGGACUCAAGCAAGCUCAUGUGUGUAUCCAGUUGUGAGAUUAGUUCCUACAGUUGGUUUGAUUUAGUUAUAUAUGAUAUGAUGACUUAAUUGUAUAUGAGUUGCACGGUUCAUUUUAGCUACUAUUAAUACAGCAUAUUCUUUCAUGAUGCCAUACAGUUCUUUCUUCUGCAAAACUUUGGUGUCAGUGUGCUAUCUAACUAAUUCUUCGUCAUUACAUGUUCACAUAUCUUUUCAGGUGGGCAUAUUCUAUGAAGAAGCAUACGCAGCUCUCAGUGCACCUCCUCUAAGUCAGCACUUUGAUAAGACAUGGGUGUCCCAUGUCCAGCUGAAAGCUGCUCAAUUCUACGCCGAUGCUUGCUAUAGGUAUUCAUUAGAUCUUCAUCAGAAAGAAGAAAUUGCUGAGGAAAUUGCACGUUUAAAGAUUGGUAUGAGUGCCUUGGCAGAUGCUAAGAAGGCUGCGAAGGGAGUUGCUGCCCAGCUUCUGGAUUCUGUGAACAAGCUGGAAACUAACAUGAAAACCAACUUGGAAAGGGCUAUGAAGGAGAAUGAUCGUGUUUACCUGAUGCGGGUUCCAGCUGCUGGUUCCUUGGGAGCCCUCCCUGCAGCAUCCCUUGUAAAGCCUACCUCUUUGGCAGAAGUUUUAGAUGCCAGCAAGGAAAGGCUUUUUUCAUCACUUGUGCCUGAUGGCAGCAUGAAAGCACUCUCUAAGUACACAGAGAUGCUAGAUAAUAUUAUCCGGACCCAAGCAGAGAAAUUGCAGCAAGCCAGUGAGAUCACUAGAGUCAGGCUGAAGGAAAUGGACUUACCAGAUUCUAUUCUUUCAUUGGAAGGAAAUAUAACCUUGCCCUUGGAUCUCAAGGAAGACGUAGAGGCUGUGCAGAUAAGUGGUGGCCCUGCUGGCUUAGAAUCUGAGUUGCAGCAGCUUAGGGAUUUGAGCAGGGUCAAUCAGGAACUACUUGUUCAGACUGAAGAGCUUCUACAGAAGGAGGCGAAUGAAGACGCUCAAUUUCGUACACAAUUUGGGAGUCGCUGGACUAGACCUCAAUCAAGCACCCUAACCAAGAAUAUUCAGGAUAGAUUGAAUCUGUUUGCUUCUAAUCUGAAGAGAGCUGCUGAUAGUGAUUCUCUGAUCGAACGAGGCGUGAAGGAGAACUAUCCAUUGAUGUCUAUCCUUGACAAAAGACCGGUGAGAGAUUAACAUUACUAUAUAACAUGAAACUAAAAGUAUAAUUAGCAUUGAACAUUUGAGUGGAUUACUUAUCUUUAUUUGCUACCCAAUGAACCGUGACUCUUUUCUGUGAUCAUCAUUUUAUUCUUCAUAUCUAGAUAGUUACACAUACCUGUUCUCUGUUGCAGAUAGAGUCUGCACUUCCAAGUAUUUCCAGGCCUAUCAUGUCCUUGGAUGGGAAUGAAGAUGCCAUUGUUGGAGCCCUGAAACAAAGCUUGGUAAUGUACAUUAGUUUUUAUAGCUGCUAGAACAUGUAGUUAGACUGUUUUUUUUUUACUUGGCAAAACUUACUUUUAUUUGUCAACAGAGACAACUGGAGGCUCUUGGAGCACAAAGGGCAGGUCUUGAAGACAUGCUCAAAGAAAUGAAAAGAAAGGUGUAACUACUGUUCCUGUAUUUUUCAUUGUAGUUCAUUUUUCACGAGAUUUUUCUUGGCCGUAUCUGUAGAAUACAUUUCAUCUGGUGCUAGCAUUAAAUUACAAGCCAUGGGUCUGUUUUACCUUCUCAGUGAACAUAUCAUGCUUAAAGUUUUAAUGUUCUUCCCUCAAAAAAAAAGUUUUAAUGUUCUUGGCUUCUUGGAGUGCUGUAUUAGUACUAAUUCAUCAUGGGCUCCUAUGACUAUGAGUGCCUUUAUGUGUUCUGUUGUUGCCGACUAAGUAAUAUUCUGCUUUGCAUUGCCCCUUUCAAAUUCCACUUCAAUUGUUCGAGAAAAAAAUUUUCACAUGACAAGAUUUUAUGGUGGUCCUGAUGGAUUGCUUUUCAAGUUUGUUAGUCCUUCAACUAGCUGAAAUUCAUUCACCAUCUUUCAUUACUUAGUAUUUUAUUGUGCUAAGAAGAUCAAUUUUUGCCAGGACGAUAUAUUGCCUAAGUUGAUGACUGGUGUGGGAUCACAUGAUGAUCUUUUCAAGAAGGAGCUUGCUAAGUAUGAUCCUAUCUGUGCUGAUAUUGCUGAUAACAUUGUGGCACAGGAACAAUUAUUGCUACAAAUACAGGUAAACAGGCAUGCCUGAUAAAUAAUGGUGGUGCAGUCCGCUUUGAGACUUUCUUUGUGUUAAAUUUGCGUAAAGUUCUGUCAUCAACAUAGGUGUAUUAAAACUGAGUAGUAGCGUCAUUGUUUUGAAAUUAAGUGAUUUAACUCCAGAGAUGAGAAAAGGAAGAAACAGUGGGAGAACUGUUUAUAAGAGCCCAAUGCCCUAUAUUUUGUCAUGUACUUUCGUCUUGUGUCUGACAUUUGGAUACUGGAUCCUUGCACAGGCACAAAAUGAGCAAUUUGCUGCUGUAUUCAACCUAGAGGAUUACAAAGGUAACCUUUCUGGGACUUUUUUUGUGUCACAGUUGUGAUAGAAUGCCUUUACAUUUUACUUUCAUAACUUGCUGUAUACAUUGAAUCUCUUUAGGUAUUCUAAUUUUCCUAAUGCCAACAAAGUUUUACAGUUAUUGCUUGAGGGCCCCUCUGUCCCUUUUUAAGUGUCGCUAUAGUAUUCGUGCUAGUCAAAGUUUCUUAAAGUCGACUAGGUUUGCAGAAAAUGUUAGCAACAUUUGUAUAUCCAAAUAAGUUUAUUAUAAAAACAGAUUCAACGAUCUACCUAAUGAUACUAAUUAUGUAUCAUUAAUAUUAUUUUUUUUCUUAUAUAUUUGAUCAAAGUUGGGUAUGUUUGAAUUCUUGGAAAGUGAGAACAACAGUUAAAGAGGGACAGAGGGAGCAUGUUCUAAUUUUUCAGCAAAUUAUCUGCUUCAACUGUCCAUGUGAUGUACCGCUGCCUUUUGCACUUUCAACUUGUAUUUUAACAACUUUAUUUUUUAUUAUUUGCCUUAUGGAUGGUAGCUAUCAUACAGUAUUUUAUUUUUGUAAUGUUCUUUCCAUUCUUGAGCCCAGCAAUUACAGUGGUUCCCUAGAUCAUGCUGGCUGGUUGGGUAGUUAUUGGUUCGUGGGCAUUUUUGUGCAAAUUUCAGCAAUUUGUCUGCUUCAGUUGUCUAUAAUCUUCCUUAGCAGGCUAGGUGUUGCUUGUAUGCAUGUCUUUUCCUGCAUGUGCGCCAUUUUCUGGAGUAACUUCAAAUUGAUACUGCUCUGCUUAAUUUCUACUCCCUCUGUUCCAAACUAGAGGUCACUUUAGCUUUCCCCUAAGUCAAACUUCUCUAACUUUGACUAAGUUUUUAGAAAAAAACAAAUAUUAACAUCUACAAGUUCAAAUAAAGGCACUGUCAAGACAUAUUUCAUGGAGAACUUAAUGAAACUGAUUUGUGUUGCAAAUGUUGAUGUAUUUUCUAUUAAACUUAAAUCAAGUUAGAUAAGUUUGACUGCCUUGUUUAGUUCACCCCGAAAACCAAAAAGUUUUCAAGAUUCCCCGUCACAUCGAAUCUUUCAACACAUGCAUGAAGCAUUAAAUAUAGACGAAAAUAAAAACUAAUUGCACAGUUUACCUGUAAAUCGACGAAUCUUUUGAUCAUAGUUAGUCCAUAAUUAGACAAUAUUUGCCACAAACAAAUGAAAGUGCUACAGUAGCGAAAUCCAAAAUCUUUUCGCAUCUAAACAAGGCCUUAGGACAAAAAUUGACCUAUAAUUUUGAACGGAGAGGGUAACCUGUAAUCAUUGCUGACAUGGAACUGUUAUCACAGUCAGGUGCUAUUAUUUUUUAGAUCCCUAGGAGUCAGAUCUUUGAACAAUGUAAUAUGUAAUUCUUUUUCUUUGCACAAAGCUAAUGUGUAAUUUUGAUUUGUUAAUCUCCUUUUUCUUCAGCUGCUCGUGAGAGAUGCUACAAGCAAAUCGCUGCUGCUGUUGCUAAAUAUCAGGAGUUCAAAAAGAACAUUAACGAGGGCCUAAACUUUUAUGUGACUUUACAGGUGUGAUUGCAUUUCCAUUUUCAUUUUGUUCCAUUUGCAUUGAACAUAGGAAUGCUGGUGUCUCCUCUCGAAUGGGCCACUGAUUCUGGGAUGAUCCCUGUGUACAGGAAGCAAUAGGCAAAAUAAAGCAGCAGUGCAGUGACUUUAUAAUGACCCGAAACAUUCAAUGCCGUGAAAUGAUCGAAGAUGUGCAGAGGAAGCUAGCGGGUUUCAGCUUCUCGUCCUCCGGCCACUCUUCUUUGCAGAGGAAUGCUUCUGUGCCACCUGAUCAGAGCAGCCCAUCACCACCGCCGCAUGCUCAGGCUCCCUAUGCCUCUACACCUGGGGUAGACUCAAGGCCUGGAUAUUCUCAACCGGAGCCAAGACCUUCAUACUCACAGCCAUACCCCUCAUCCUAUGGCGCGCCACCGCAACAGCCUCCAUACAGUGCACCACACCCUGGUCAGUACCAGCCACCAGCGCAUCAGCCGCCUCCUGGUCAUGACUAUGGUCAGCCGGCAUAUCCUGGAUGGCGUGGUCCAUAUUACAAUGCCCAUCAGCCGCAGCAAUCUGCGCCAUAUCCACAGCCACCGUACAAUGCCCCUGGGGCUUACCCUCCGCACCAGAGCAACUAUUACAGGCCUCAAUAAGUCAUCUUGUGGUUGCUGCAACUAUUUGUUUGUUUCUUUUCCAUUGGAUCUUACCAUUGAGGAGUACAUUAUCUGGCGUACUGCAUACGAGAGUUUGGGUGGUGUAAUAUCAGGUUGAUUAGAAGGUAUAGCUUGUAUGAUUUGUACGUAUAAUAAUGUGCUGGAUGUGUUGUAAUACGCGGCUACAUUCUCAUAUGCAUAUUGCAACACCUACGUCUAUCUCAGCAUCUCCCCUUUGCGUGACUGAGUCUUAAUAUAAAUGCAAGAAGUCAAUUCAUGUGACACUUAGAUAAUCAUAUUUGCGUCGAGAUCACCCUCUUAAUAGUAUAGCUAUCUAUCCUAAAUUUACUCAUACUCAUGCCUUGUGUCAAAAUAAAAUGACCUUAUCAAAUAUACCUUUGUUUUGAGGCCAUUUUAUUUUUUUUCUUCUUUUCCAAGUUUGAAGACCUUCACUUAGGCUAUCACCAUCACCAUGACCAUCAUCUAGCUCCACCACUUAGUAUAUUCGACCUAGCUCAUGUUCAUCAUUUAACGACAAGGUUAGUACAUUUAGGUUUGAUCAAUUAUCUAAAACUAAACUAGAGCUUUCACACAGUCGCCAUUCUAAUUGAAAACACACUUAUAUGUUGAUAAUAAAGCCAAAUUUGUCAGCCAUUCAGUAGUUUUUUCUCUCACAACAGUACCUUCUGCCAUGUCUUAUCAGCCAAACGAACAAGAGCGUCAUUCGAUUAAAGUUGUCUGAAGUGAAAAUCAUCAAUUGUUGUGUACAUAUUCCCCAUAUAUCCACAUGGUACAUGAUAGCAUCCCUGCAUAACAAAUGAAGCCAUAUAAAAUAUUAGCCAGUAGCCACUAAAAUUAAUCUCUGCUCUUUCAUGUGUGUGUUAGUGAAAGAUGAGAGAGAGUCUACAAGAUCUUCCUCACAUUUAUAUUUGUUGAGUCAAGAAGUAAUUUUAAACUCAUAUGUUCACAUGUUCAAGGAAUAUAUCCAGAACCUGUUUGUGCAAAUCAGUCUCGGAUCCACUUGGUCCACUAGUCACCGGUACCUAAAGGAAUCAAUAAGACAUGUUCAUCAGCAAAAUUUUUGACUGAAUGGUCACAGAUGCCUAUAGAUUUAAAUUAGCUGUCAUAUUUAUUGGGCCACCCCCUAAAUAGUAUAAAAAGGACCAAAGGAUUUAGAAGAGACGAGCUAUUACGAAGAUGUAAUAAAUCUAAAGGAUUGCAUGAUUUUAGAUGCAAUACAUGACGAAAAAAGAAGACAAGGCGACUCUAUUUCUUCUUCAUGUUGACUGUGAGCAUGACUGUAUGUCUGUAUGAAUGAAGAUGAUAUAGUUGACGAAAACUUUGCAAACCUGUCAUGUCUAUAGACAGUGCCUUUGGGGUAUGCUAAUUUUAUUUUGAUAUAUAUGAUUCCCUUUUGUACUCAUUGGGAUGGUGUUUCAAUAGCUACCUGACCCAUUUUUUCCAGGCCUUAUCCAAAGUUUAAGCUUGAAAAAGCUAAAGGAAGUACUUAAAUUGUGAAUAAGCCCAUGGACAUUGAUUGUUUCAACGGGUAUCCACAAUCACAUGUUGUGCAACCAACAUUUUGAUGGGCAAUGCAGUUUGUUCUUGUUCGAGAUGAUGAAUAGAAGUAUCAUCAUAAUGUAUCCUAAUUGUAUACCUAAAUGGGCGAAAAGACCAUAUCUUCCUAGAAUAGAGAAGACCAGAAAUACGCUGGCCAAUGAAAGUUCUAAACCCCGCAUGGAAUGAGAAUGUAUAUGAUUUGGGGGAAGAUUAAGGGCAUGUUCAGUUGCAUCCAGGUGGAACCAAUCUAGGGAGGGAGAGUAUCUCAUUUCCAUUGACCAUUGCAGAGUAAAUGCGUGGGGAAUGCAGUCCAGGAUUGACAUGUAGAUUUCGAACGGGAUUGGUUCCACCACUCUAGAGGUCUGGAUUGAAUCCAGGCGGCCAUCAUGCAUGGAUGCAGACAGCGUGAGUGACGAUUGUGACACUACUGGCAUGAUGACAAGGUGGGCAGCCGGCCUAGACCUGUGAAACGCAGCAAGGCACGGGAUUGAAUCCAGGUGGGUUGGUCGCUACAACCGAACGGGGCCCGAUUUCUUGAGGGAAGAUUUUAUUAAAUGCUAUAUUGUUUCUUGUCUCAUUUUGUGAUGGAUUUCAAUACAGUCACCAUUCUAAUUGAAUUACUGAAUUGUCAAAACAUUUAUAUUUUAUCUAAUGCGGAAUACGCUAUUGUCUGGCCUUGUGUAUUAAGGCAGCGCCUUUUUCUAAUAGCGUCAUCAGUGUCUGGCUGUACAUUAUAUGCCAUCGUGACUGAGGUCCUGCACCUGGCAGAAUGGCAUGAAAACCUCUGCCCCCACACCGACAUGUCCAUAGGACCACACGGUCAUCCAGCUAGUAACAACUAAAUUCAGCUAAAGAUAAGCAGUAUCAAAUCGUGCAGUUGCGAACAGAUUAAUCCCAUGCAUGCAUGCCUAGUUUAGAAGUCCAAGAUUUGCAUGCAUAUAAGAACAGUGGAGGGAACAAAGUGAAGCUGUUAGCUGUAUAUGGCAGCGUGUGCACGUACAAUACAACCAUCCCACAGGUUUCCUCGUACAUACAUAGAGGUUCAUUAUAUGCUCGAGUGCAAAUUGUUUACCGCACUGACGGCACUGCAAAGAAUGAUUGACAUGCCCGCAGGGAAUGCAACCAUUUUGAUUGACAUGCCCGCACUGACGGCUUCUGCCACGACUAUGAGACCAGAAGCUAUCCCCAGCUUGGGUAAAGUGGCAUGCGAGAAGAUUGGGGUUGCUGCUGAAUGCUCCGGCUGUUUGCGCUAAUAAAGCCCUGCAGGAGGCUCUGCGCAGCUUUUGCUUCCUCCAGUGUGCCCUGGAUCUCCACCACAGACUCGGAAGAACCAGCAUGAGCCUCAUGUAGCCUCAGUCUUGCACCAGAAAUCUGGGUCAAGUAGAACAUUAAUGAGAAAACCUAUUAUAUUUAUAUCAUAAGAGGACACAUUUCAUAUAGAAGUGCCCAUGGAAGAGAAAAGCUAAUCAUAACAGAGGAUGCAUUUCAUAUAGCAGUGCCCAUGGAGUAAAAGGCAUAAUAACUUCUAUCUAUACCUGACGGAUCUCUGCUAGAUUGACCCCGCCAACACCGACAAUAGACUCCAAAGAACUAUUUGGAAUCCUCAGUUCAAUAGUGCUCAAGAACCUUCUGCCAAAGGAAGGUAUUUUCAAUGAAAUCUGUACAGGUAAAACUAAAAUUAUGUUUAGGAAGGAAGCAAGGCCUCCAAAGUCAUACCCAGUAGCACUUGUCAGUCCUCUGUAAUCCUCGCGUCCAUGAAUUUGUCCAGCAGUCUGUGCAAUGAUAAAAUUUAAAUAUAUACAGAACUUGAGAUUUUCUGGUAGGCAUAGACAAUAAAAAAAAAUCGGUUGAAAGUUGAAACCAAGAGCGGCAGAGUACAUCCCAGCAGACAAAUAUAUACUGAACCAAGUUGCAAGUGACAACAAAUGAGGAGUUGCACCACUGUGACCACAUUAUAGGGUGAACAUUGCUGCCACAGAAGUGACAGCUAAGACAGCAACAUAUCUCUCUCCACCCCCCCCCCCCCCCCCCAAUAUUCAGGAGUACCACCUAAUUACGGAACAGAACAGGGACAAUGGCACAGUCAUGUGCAAAGUCUCAAGCUUCUAAUAAAAAUUUCAGGUGAUGGCCAUUUGCAAAAGAGGGAAGCUCACGUCAAAGAUGUACCUCGGUAUAGUCAUAAGCAUCUGAAUUUCCAUCUCUUGUGAUGCCUAAUUGCUGUGUACCCCUACUAGAGUAGCUAUCAGCAGGCACAUGGGCACGAUAGGAACGAUGAGACAUAUGAUCCACACCAGGACUGAAAGCCGAGGGAAGUUCUCUAGUAGGAAAGCGUGUGGCUGCUGCAUAUCUCUCAUAAGGAGCUGAUGGGGCAUUACUAGUAAACAUAGGGCUUCCACUAGGAUAUUCUCUUUUAGAAAAGUAGUCUACAGGAUAUGCAUCAGAAGGAUCACGAGGUGCACUUUCGUUUGGUCUUGGUCGUCCAUAUGGUGGAUUGUUGGUAGGCCUUCCAUAUGGAUCAUUAGCAGGUCUUCCAUAUGGUGGAUCGUUGGCAGGCCUUCCAUAUGGUGGAUCGUUGGCAGGUCUUCCAUAUGGUGGAUCAUUGGUAGGUCUUCCAAAUGGUGGAACAACGGCAGGCCUUCCAUAUGGUCGAUCGUUGGUAUGACUUCCAAAUGGUGGAUCAAUGGCAGGCCUUCCAUACAGUGGAUCAAUGGCAGGCCUUCCAUACAGUGGAUCAAUGGCAGGCCUUCCAUACGGUGGAUCAUUGGCAGGCCCUCCAUAUAGUGUCGAUUUUCUGCUAGGCAUAUCAACAGGAGGAUCAUCGAAAGGGGCAAAAGGUGGAGGAUUAUUGGCAGUACUUGUAACUCCCAAAGUCCUAUUUCUAAGCCUCGAAGCAAUCUCUGUGAGGGCUCCUCUUGCAAUAGCUGGAGGCCCAGCAACCUGAAAGCUUGGAACAAAUGUACAGGUACAACGGACGUUAACAAAUUAAAGGUCCAGAUAAUAAAAACAUACAGAAAUAUGUUAAUGUAGCAGUUAUCAAAUAUUAAGUCACCUGCACAAGUUCAUCAUCAAAAGACAAGUAUUUUGGUUUAUCUGCCUUCGAGUAAACUCGAAUUUCAGCCCCAGUUCGUCUUCUCAUUUCAGUAAUCACCUUCCCACCUUCCCCAAGAAUACAGCCAACUUUGCUUGAUGGUACAACAAGCCUAGUACUUGAAUGGCGUUUCUCAGAGGGUGCACUUACUUUAUCAUGGAGCAAAAUGAGUGCCUCAAUUGCUGGGGAUAUUGGUUCAGAUGGUACCUGGAUGAAUAAAAAAGGAGAUAAAAUUGUGAGUAUUGGUACUAGAAAGUGAUUGGCAACUCAAAACCAGCUGCACUGUUACCUCCUUAGAUGAAACAAUGAUCAGACUUUCUCCAGAAGCAUCUUUGUCAAUCUCUUGAACUUUGAUGCGAGCACCAGUCUGCUGCUCUACUCGCUUAACAUUAGCCCCACUUUUCCCAAUAACUGAACCAAUGAGCUCAGAAGCACAUAGAAUUCUGAUAGAAAACUCUUCAGUUUCAGUAACAUGAUAUUGCAGUCCACUUCUAUAGGGAUCGAGCAGGGGUAUUGGAGGUGGAUGAUCACUAUGCAGGUGCGGCAACAUUGGAUUUUCAUGUUGUAGUAGUAUUGGGGACUCGCGUUUCCUUUGUGUGCUUGCAUUUAUUAUUUCUUCAAGAGGUCUAUUUUCCUUACGAGGAUGCUGAUGGAGACGAGUAGAUAUUUCAUAUAGAGCUUUUCUUACAAGAGAAGGUGCUCCAGAUAUCUGAAAUAUCAUAACAACAAUAUGAUAUAUGAUACCUAUGUACUGAUGUCCAAAAGUGAAACUAAGCAUGACAAAGACGCAAAUUUCAAGAUAUGAGAACAGCAUGACACAAAGUUCCAUCGUUUUGUUAAUUUAAUUAAUUGAUAGGGAAAAUCAAGUUAUCAAAACCAUGAGAAACUAGACAGGCAGAAGUAGAAUAACAAUUGAUAUGUCCACAGCGAAUUGUUUAUUUCGAGAAAAAAUAAUACAUGAACAAUUGAAUGCUAAUCCAAAUAUAAAGAAACAGCAUAUGAGGCCACAGGAACCAAUGGAAGCAAAAGGCAUUACCAAGCCAGACAAAAGACAAUAAAGGAUUUUCUACUAUUAAUACAGCCUUACCUGCACCAGUUCAUCACUUUUAAGUGCACACUGGGGAAGGUCUUCAGAUGGCAAGACACGGAUCCCAGCACCAGUAUCACUUCGUAGUUGUUGUAUAAUGGAGCCACCUUUUCCUAGAAGGCAGCCAACUUGAUUGCCUUGAACCAAAAUUCGAGCAGUCACAUCAUCAGCACUUUCAGACUUUUCCUCAUGGGCGACUCCAUCAUGAAUUUCAUCAGCCACAAUCUUAUCAUGUAUCUUCAAUAAGGCAUCUUGGGCAAAGCAAUGGGGUUUCAUGUUCCCUAAGCCAUCACUAAAUUUAGUUUCAGCUGCUUCAUCAGUCAGUUCAGGUUGAUUUUGGUAAUUGAAGAUGAUAAUUACUCUCUCAUCUGCACCAGGAAUGGGAUCGGCAACCCUUAUCUUGGCUUUAGUUUCUUCUCUGAGGGCCUUAACAACAUCACCACCUCUUCCCAAGACACUGCCUAUCUUUUUUACUGGGCACAAUAUCCUGUAGAUGGUUUCAACUGGCUCUGAGGACAUAGAUGUGUCAUCAUGCCUUGAGUUUAGCCGUUUCCUCUUUCUGUCCUCAGAAUUGGAAUAUGUCCUCUUUUUGGAGUUACUUCUUCUAGACUUGCCAUAAUCCAUCAAAAUCAAUCUUGCAGUUCCCCUUUAUCCACAUAAAGAAUAAUCCAUCAGAGCAAACAAACUGAUAAGAUACUGAUAACGAGGUCAUUAAACAAAGAUGAAAGGAUGCUGCAUGCACAUGUGCCUCUAGCAGCAUCCCCAAUGACAACACAUACACAGCCUUAUGCACGUAUAGCUGCUGCUGGAUGUCCAUGUUGCUAUUUUGUACUACAGAACACUAGCAUAGGCAAUUUUAAGUUCAACAACAUGUGUUGGCUGUUGACCAUGUACAGAUCAAGGCAUCCUGGUGAUCAAAAGUUGCAUGGAUUCAGGAUACAAAUUACCCACUGUUUGCUUUUAAAAUAUAUAAGUACAUUCAUUCAAUUCAAGAAGAGCUCCAUAUUAUUGAUUUCCUUUAAAAAUAAUGCCCAUGAAUAACAUGGUUCAUCUUCUAGAAGAAUUACAGCGAAUAACAAUGUCUGCAUGAAGUACGCAAAAUCUAAAGUCUUCCGGCAACUGAAAUCCAGCCUAAGAGAAACUCAAGGUACAAUUUUUUAUGUUCAAUUUUCCAGAAUUGCAGAUAUAAUGCCAGUAUGUGCUGAAAGGGAACAUCAUAUAAAGUACCAUGCCUAAUUUAAAUAAAUAAUGAAAACAUUAUAAAAACAGACAGGGGACAAAGCAGGCUAAAUAGUUUGAAAAAAAAUGCUAAAUGAACGUCUUAGAUGAAAUAGAAUAAAAACUUAACUGAGGCACAUUAUCACUAACAUUUCAUUACAAGCAAAAGGCUUCCUAGCAUAUGCAAGUAUGCAACUUGAAGCAAUUCCAUAAAAUAACCUCUGAAAUGGAUUAGCUUGUGCCCAUAAAAGAUGAGCAAUGACUUCACAAGCACACCUCAUCAACUACCAACUAGGUGCAAUGGAAAAUUUCUUAACCGCUCAUCUAC